CUCUGGGCUCUAGCCGCCUGGGAGGGCUGUUCCCAGGACUGCGCCUCCUGAGGGCAAGCCCCUGGCCCUCCCGCCGAGCUGCCUAGCGCCCCCCUGAAUGGAAGGGCCAUUGUCACCGGGAAGUUCUCCCCCUGUACCUAUCCUAAAUUCGUCCUGGGCUGAUUCCUCUGGAAACCCACCCAGGCCUGGACGGACAGAAUCCCAGAACUGCCCAGCUCAGCCCAGAAUCCAGUGAGCUCCGUGUCCUUAAAACAGUGCAUCGACCUCUCUGAGCCUCAGUUGCUUCAUCUGGAAAAUGAAGUUAACGAUAAAACCUCCCUGGAAGCCCCGACCGGUGUGGCCAUGCUGGCUGGGCGCUGUCCCGAAGAGGCUCAGCCCCCGGUCAGGGCACACGACUGGGUUGCUGGCUCAGUCCCCUUGGGGCACAGACGGGACCGAACCAUGUGCCUCUCUCACAUCGAUGUUUCUCUCUCUCUCUUCCC
Phyllostomus hastatus (greater spear-nosed bat) is the source of this 482-nucleotide long non-coding RNA. RefSeq lists it as uncharacterized. The record is from RefSeq and is a predicted model, not a curated record. The transcript is spliced from 3 exons. NCBI's taxonomy places the organism in Eukaryota, Metazoa, Chordata, Mammalia, Chiroptera, Phyllostomidae.